Molecule: ribosomal RNA, 119 nt
Filed under: Pteropus alecto (black flying fox)
Lineage: Eukaryota; Metazoa; Chordata; Mammalia; Chiroptera; Pteropodidae
Source: RNAcentral
GUCUAUGUUCAUGCCACCUUGAACAUUCCCGAUUUUGUUUGAUCUCGGAAGCUAAGCAAGCUUGGGCCUGGUUAGUACUUGGAUGAGAGACCACCUAGGAAGACCAGGUGCCGUAGGCG